CUUCAUGAAGCUGGAAUUGCUAGUAAUGGCAGGUCAGCAUACUGCCGUGAAUACGUUCCCGGGCCUUGUACACACCGCCCGUCACACCAUGAGAGUUGGGAAUACCCGAAGCCUGUGAGGCUAACUGUAAGGAGGCAGCAGUCGAAGGUAGAAUCAAUGAUUGGGGUGAAGUCGUAACAAGGUAUC
This 186-nucleotide ribosomal RNA is filed under the name uncultured bacterium. RNAcentral's name for it is "partial 16S ribosomal RNA". It matches the Rfam family "Bacterial small subunit ribosomal RNA", at positions 1316 to 1500 of the family's 1533-position model. The record is from RNAcentral.